Molecule: ribosomal RNA, 2895 nt
Filed under: Acetivibrio cellulolyticus CD2
Lineage: Bacteria; Bacillati; Bacillota; Clostridia; Acetivibrionales; Acetivibrionaceae
Description: bacterial LSU rRNA
Rfam family: Bacterial large subunit ribosomal RNA
Source: RNAcentral
AGAGCAUAGGGUGAAUGCCUAGGCACCAGAAGGCGAAGAAGGACGCGAUAAGCUGCGAAAAGCUACGGUAAGGAGCAAAUAUCCUGCGACCCGUAGAUAUCCGAAUGGGGGAACCCACCUGAGGUAAAUGCUCAGGUACUGAUACAUGAAUCCAUAGUGUAUCAGAGCGAGACGUGGGGAACUGAAACAUCUAAGUACCCACAGGAAGAGAAAUCAACCGAGAUUCCGUAAGUAGUGGCGAGCGAACGCGGAAGAGCCCAAACCAAUCUAUAGCAAUAUAGGUCGGGGUUGUGGACCGGCAUAAUGAUCCAUCAAACUUAGCAGAAGUAACCAGGAAAGGUUACACCAAAGAGGGUAAAAGUCCCGUACGCGAAAAGAGAGAUGGCAGGCCGGUAUCCAGAGUACCACGAGGCACGUGAAACCUUGUGGGAAGCAGGGGGGACCACCCUCCAAGGCUAAAUACUUCCUGGUGACCGAUAGUGAAGCAGUACCGUGAGGGAAAGGUGAAAAGAACCCCGGGAGGGGAGUGAAAGAGAACCUGAAACCCUAUGUUUACAAGCAGUUGAAGAGCGUUAAGGCUCGACAGCGUACUUUUUGUAGAACGGUCCGGCGAGUUAUUGUAUGUGGCAAGGUUAAGUACUAAUGGUACGGAGCCGAAGCGAGAGCGAGUCUGAAUAGGGCGAAUAAGUCACAUGUAAUAGACCCGAAACCGGGUGACCUAUCCAUGGACAGGUUGAAGCGAGAGUAAAAUCUCGUGGAGGACCGAACUCAUAACCGUUGAAAAGGUUUGGGAUGAGCUGUGGAUAGCGGAGAAAUUCCAAUCGAACUCGGAGAUAGCUGGUUCUCCCCGAAAUAGCUUUAGGGCUAGCCUCAAGUAUGUCUAACGGAGGUAAAGCACUGAAUGGGCUAGGGGCCUUACCGGGUUACCGAACCCUAUCAAACUCUGAAUGCCGUAUAGAUUAAAGCUUGGGAGUCAGACAGCGUGAGAUAAGUUUCGUUGUCAAAAGGGAAACAGCCCAGACCAUCAGCUAAGGUCCCAAAAUCACAGUUAAGUGGAAAAGGAUGUGGGUUUGCUAAGACAACUAGGAUGUUGGCUUAGAAGCAGCCACUCAUUCAAAGAGUGCGUAAUAGCUCACUAGUCGAGUGAACCUGCGCCGAAAAUGUUCGGGGCUCAAACUGUGUACCGAAGCUAUGGAUCCAGAAAUGGGUGGUAGGGGAGCUUACUAUGUUAGGUAGAAGCAUGAUCGUAAGGACAUGUGGACGAAAUAGUAGUGAGAAUGCCGGAAUAAGUAGCGAGAGUGAAGUGAGAAUCUUUACCGUCGAAAAUCUAAGGUUUCCUGGGGAAGGUUCGUCCGCCCAGGGUAAGUCGGGACCUAAGCCGAGGCCGAAAGGCGUAGGCGAUGGACAACAGGUUGAAAUUCCUGUACUACCGCUGCUCGUUAUCAGAGAUGUGGGGACGCAGGGGGAUAAGUCAAGCGAGUGACUGGAAGAGCUCGUCUAAGUAGAGGAUAUAGUCUGGUAGGCAAAUCCGCCGGAUGUUUUGAGACUACGAAUGGGAGGGAAAUUAGAGUACCGAAGUGACUGAUUCCGCACUGACGAGAAAAUCCACUAUCGAGAGUAGAGGUACCCGUACCGCAAACCGACACAGGUAGAUGAGGAGAGAAUCCUAAGACGAACGGGAGAAGCGUUGUUAAGGAACUCGGCAAAUUGACCCCGUAAGUUCGCAAUAAGGGGUGCCUCAGCAAUGAGGUCGCAGAGAAUAGGCCCAAGCAACUGUUUAACAAAAACACAGGUCUCUGCUAAAUCGAAAGAUGAAGUAUAGGGGCUGACGCCUGCCCGGUGCUGGAAGGUUACGGGAAUCUGUCAACGAAAGUGAAGCAGUGAACUUAAGCCCCAGUAAACGGCGGCCGUAACUAUAACGGUCCUAAGGUAGCGAAAUUCCUUGUCAGGUAAGUUCUGACCCGCACGAAUGGCGUAAUGAUUUGGGCACUGUCUCAACAACGUACCCGGCGAAAUUGUAGUACUUGUGAAGAUGCAAGUUACCCGCGACUAGACGGAAAGACCCCAUGGAGCUUUACUGUAGCCUGAUACUGGGUUUCGGUAUUUUUUGUACAGGAUAGGUGGGAGAUUAGGAAGUAUGGACGCCAGUUCAUAUGGAAUCGACGUUGGGAUACCACUCUAAGAAUACUGGAACUCUAACCUGAGGCCAUAAUCUGGUCUAGGGACACUGUCAGGUGGGCAGUUUGACUGGGGCGGUCGCCUCCCAAAAGGUAACGGAGGCGUUCAAAGGUUACCUCAGCGCGGUUGGAAAUCGCGCAACGAGUGCAAAGGCAUAAGGUAGCCUGACUGCGAGACAAACAAGUCGAGCAGGUACGAAAGUAGGACUUAGUGAUCCGGCGGUAUGAAAGUGGAAUUGCCGUCGCUCAACGGAUAAAAGCUACCCUGGGGAUAACAGGCUGAUCUCCCCCAAGAGUCCACAUCGACGGGGAGGUUUGGCACCUCGAUGUCGGCUCAUCGCAUCCUGGAGCUGAAGUAGGUUCCAAGGGUUUGGCUGUUCGCCAAUUAAAGCGGUACGCGAGCUGGGUUCAGAACGUCGUGAGACAGUUCGGUCCCUAUCUGUCGCGGGCGCAGGAUAUUUGAAGGGAUCUGUCCUUAGUACGAGAGGACCGGGAUGGACGAACCUCUGGUGCACCAGUUGUACUACCAAGUGCAUAGCUGGGUAGCCAAGUUCGGAAGGGAUAAACGCUGAAGGCAUCUAAGCGUGAAACCCACCCUAAGAUGAGAUAUCCCACCGUAAGGGUAAGACCCCAUGUAGACUACAUGGUUGAUAGGCCAGAGGUGUAAGUGCAGUAAUGUAUUUAGCUGACUGGUACUAAUAGGUCGAGGGCUUGACCA